This 524-nucleotide ribosomal RNA is filed under the name uncultured bacterium. Its description in RNAcentral is "bacterial SSU rRNA". It matches the Rfam family "Bacterial small subunit ribosomal RNA", at positions 8 to 526 of the family's 1533-position model. The record is from RNAcentral.
AGGGUUUGAUCCUGGCUCAGGACGAACGCUGGCGGCAGCCCUUAUACAUGCAAGUCGAACGAGAAAGUUCCUUCGGGAGCGAGUAAAGUGGCGGACGGGUGAGUAACGCGUAGGAAUCUACCUUUCAGUGGGGGAUAGCUCGGGGAAACUCGAAUUAAUACCGCAUACACCCUUAGGGGGAAAGGGGGCCUCUCCUUGGAAGCUCUCGCUGUUAGAUGAGCCUGCGUGAGAUUAGCUUGUUGGUAAGGUAAUGGCUUACCAAGGCUACGAUCUCUAGCUGGUCUGAGAGGACGAUCAGCCACACUGGGACUGAGACACGGCCCAGACUCCUACGGGAGGCAGCAGUAGGGAAUAUUGGACAAUGGGGGAAACCCUGAUCCAGGCAUGCCGCGUGUGUGAAGAAGGCCUUAGGGUUGUAAAGCACUUUAAGUGAGGAAGAAAAGAUUUAAAUUAAUACUUUAAAUCCCUGACAUUAUUCACAGAAUAAGGACCGGCUAACUCCGUGCCAGCAGCCGCGGUAAUAC